RNAcentral lists this ribosomal RNA (2932 nucleotides) under Escherichia coli. Its description in RNAcentral is "23S ribosomal RNA". It matches the Rfam family "Bacterial large subunit ribosomal RNA". The record is from RNAcentral. Lineage: Bacteria; Pseudomonadati; Pseudomonadota; Gammaproteobacteria; Enterobacterales; Enterobacteriaceae.
GGGUUGUGAGGUUAAGCGACUAAGCGUACACGGUGGAUGCCCUGGCAGUCAGAGGCGAUGAAGGACGUGCUAAUCUGCGAUAAGCGUCGGUAAGGUGAUAUGAACCGUUAUAACCGGCGAUUUCCGAAUGGGGAAACCCAGUGUGUUUCGACACACUAUCAUUAACUGAAUCCAUAGGUUAAUGAGGCGAACCGGGGGAACUGAAACAUCUAAGUACCCCGAGGAAAAGAAAUCAACCGAGAUUCCCCCAGUAGCGGCGAGCGAACGGGGAGCAGCCCAGAGCCUGAAUCAGUGUGUGUGUUAGUGGAAGCGUCUGGAAAGGCGCGCGAUACAGGGUGACAGCCCCGUACACAAAAAUGCACAUGCUGUGAGCUCGAUGAGUAGGGCGGGACACGUGGUAUCCUGUCUGAAUAUGGGGGGACCAUCCUCCAAGGCUAAAUACUCCUGACUGACCGAUAGUGAACCAGUACCGUGAGGGAAAGGCGAAAAGAACCCCGGCGAGGGGAGUGAAAAAGAACCUGAAACCGUGUACGUACAAGCAGUGGGAGCACGCUUAGGCGUGUGACUGCGUACCUUUUGUAUAAUGGGUCAGCGACUUAUAUUCUGUAGCAAGGUUAACCGAAUAGGGGAGCCGAAGGGAAACCGAGUCUUAACUGGGCGUUAAGUUGCAGGGUAUAGACCCGAAACCCGGUGAUCUAGCCAUGGGCAGGUUGAAGGUUGGGUAACACUAACUGGAGGACCGAACCGACUAAUGUUGAAAAAUUAGCGGAUGACUUGUGGCUGGGGGUGAAAGGCCAAUCAAACCGGGAGAUAGCUGGUUCUCCCCGAAAGCUAUUUAGGUAGCGCCUCGUGAAUUCAUCUCCGGGGGUAGAGCACUGUUUCGGCAAGGGGGUCAUCCCGACUUACCAACCCGAUGCAAACUGCGAAUACCGGAGAAUGUUAUCACGGGAGACACACGGCGGGUGCUAACGUCCGUCGUGAAGAGGGAAACAACCCAGACCGCCAGCUAAGGUCCCAAAGUCAUGGUUAAGUGGGAAACGAUGUGGGAAGGCCCAGACAGCCAGGAUGUUGGCUUAGAAGCAGCCAUCAUUUAAAGAAAGCGUAAUAGCUCACUGGUCGAGUCGGCCUGCGCGGAAGAUGUAACGGGGCUAAACCAUGCACCGAAGCUGCGGCAGCGACGCUGAUGCGUUGUUGGGUAGGGGAGCGUUCUGUAAGCCUGCGAAGGUGUGCUGUGAGGCAUGCUGGAGGUAUCAGAAGUGCGAAUGCUGACAUAAGUAACGAUAAAGCGGGUGAAAAGCCCGCUCGCCGGAAGACCAAGGGUUCCUGUCCAACGUUAAUCGGGGCAGGGUGAGUCGACCCCUAAGGCGAGGCCGAAAGGCGUAGUCGAUGGGAAACAGGUUAAUAUUCCUGUACUUGGUGUUACUGCGAAGGGGGGACGGAGAAGGCUAUGUUGGCCGGGCGACGGUUGUCCCGGUUUAAGCGUGUAGGCUGGUUUUCCAGGCAAAUCCGGAAAAUCAAGGCUGAGGCGUGAUGACGAGGCACUACGGUGCUGAAGCAACAAAUGCCCUGCUUCCAGGAAAAGCCUCUAAGCAUCAGGUAACAUCAAAUCGUACCCCAAACCGACACAGGUGGUCAGGUAGAGAAUACCAAGGCGCUUGAGAGAACUCGGGUGAAGGAACUAGGCAAAAUGGUGCCGUAACUUCGGGAGAAGGCACGCUGAUAUGUAGGUGAAGUCCCUUGCGGAUGGAGCUGAAAUCAGUCGAAGAUACCAGCUGGCUGCAACUGUUUAUUAAAAACACAGCACUGUGCAAACACGAAAGUGGACGUAUACGGUGUGACGCCUGCCCGGUGCCGGAAGGUUAAUUGAUGGGGUUAGCCGCAAGGCGAAGCUCUUGAUCGAAGCCCCGGUAAACGGCGGCCGUAACUAUAACGGUCCUAAGGUAGCGAAAUUCCUUGUCGGGUAAGUUCCGACCUGCACGAAUGGCGUAAUGAUGGCCAGGCUGUCUCCACCCGAGACUCAGUGAAAUUGAACUCGCUGUGAAGAUGCAGUGUACCCGCGGCAAGACGGAAAGACCCCGUGAACCUUUACUAUAGCUUGACACUGAACAUUGAGCCUUGAUGUGUAGGAUAGGUGGGAGGCUUGGAAGUGUGGACGCCAGUCUGCAUGGAGCCGACCUUGAAAUACCACCCUUUAAUGUUUGAUGUUCUAACGUUGACCCGUAAUCCGGGUUGCGGACAGUGUCUGGUGGGUAGUUUGACUGGGGCGGUCUCCUCCUAAAGAGUAACGGAGGAGCACGAAGGUUGGCUAAUCCUGGUCGGACAUCAGGAGGUUAGUGCAAUGGCAUAAGCCAGCUUGACUGCGAGCGUGACGGCGCGAGCAGGUGCGAAAGCAGGUCAUAGUGAUCCGGUGGUUCUGAAUGGAAGGGCCAUCGCUCAACGGAUAAAAGGUACUCCGGGGAUAACAGGCUGAUACCGCCCAAGAGUUCAUAUCGACGGCGGUGUUUGGCACCUCGAUGUCGGCUCAUCACAUCCUGGGGCUGAAGUAGGUCCCAAGGGUAUGGCUGUUCGCCAUUUAAAGUGGUACGCGAGCUGGGUUUAGAACGUCGUGAGACAGUUCGGUCCCUAUCUGCCGUGGGCGCUGGAGAACUGAGGGGGGCUGCUCCUAGUACGAGAGGACCGGAGUGGACGCAUCACUGGUGUUCGGGUUGUCAUGCCAAUGGCACUGCCCGGUAGCUAAAUGCGGAAGAGAUAAGUGCUGAAAGCAUCUAAGCACGAAACUUGCCCCGAGAUGAGUUCUCCCUGACCCUUUAAGGGUCCUGAAGGAACGUUGAAGACGACGACGUUGAUAGGCCGGGUGUGUAAGCGCAGCGAUGCGUUGAGCUAACCGGUACUAAUGAACCGUGAGGCUUAACCUUACAACGCCGAAGCUGUU